Molecule: ribosomal RNA, 494 nt
Filed under: uncultured bacterium
Lineage: Bacteria
Description: partial 16S ribosomal RNA
Rfam family: Bacterial small subunit ribosomal RNA
Source: RNAcentral
GACGAACGCUGGCGGCGCGCUUAACACAUGCAAGUCGAACGGAAAGGCCUGCUUUCCCUUGUGGAUUGCGGGUACUCGAGUGGCGAACGGGUGAGUAACACGUGAGUGAUCUGCCCCCAACUUGGGUAUAAGCCUGGGAAACUGGGUCUAAUUCCCGAUAGGACUGCAGGGUGGUGCCUGUGGUGGAAAACGAUUUUCUAGUGGUUGGGGAUGAGCUCGCGGCCUAUCAGCUUGUUGGUGGGGUAAUGGCCUACCAAGGCGGCGACGGGUAGCCGGCCUGGGAGGGUGGACAGCCACAUUGGGACUGAGAUACGGCCCAGACUCCUACGGGAGGCAGCAGUGGGGAAUAUUGCGCAAUGGGCGGAAGCCUGAUGCAGCGACGCCGCGUGGGGGAUGACGGCCUUCGGGUUGUAAACUCCUUUCGACCGCGAGGAAGCCACCUGGUUGGAAGGGUGGUGACGGUAGUGGUAGAAGAAGCACCGGCUAACUACGUG